This 447-nucleotide long non-coding RNA is filed under the name Homo sapiens (human). RNAcentral's name for it is "non-protein coding lnc-AQP12A-1:6". Lineage: Eukaryota; Metazoa; Chordata; Mammalia; Primates; Hominidae. The record is from RNAcentral.
UUCAUGCUGAUUUCUCUGGAAUCCCCUUGGCCAAGAAGGGUCCAUUCAGCUUGUUGGUGCGGGAGCUCAGGAUUUCAUUUUUAGUUCUCACAUGGCAGGAAGUGUUUGUGCACUCUCAGGUCACACAAGAGAUGGUAAUUUGUCAGUGAGCUGAGGAAGGCAGAUCUGGCCUCAGCUAUGAGGGUGGGUAGCACCCAGCCCAUUGCAGACCCAGACUCCGGAGGUUCCUCUGUCUUCUUGGGCUGGGGCGUCCAUCUCCUCCUGCCCGCAGACACAGGAGUUUCUGGGUCCCAGGCCUUGCGCUCUGGGACUGACACCAGCGGUUUGGGCUUGGACUGAAUGACGCCACCCGCUGUUCGGGUUCACUGGCUUAGGGACAGCGGUUUGUGGGACUUCUCAGCCUCCGUGAUCAAGGAGCCGAUUCCUGUAAUAAAUCUCCUCCUAAAC